AUCAUUCCUGUACCCGGUUAAAUGCUCAACCUGUCUGGUUCACUCCAGACUUCUGUUAGCCUGAUUGAAUCAGCGUUAUUACAUCUUUCUUUCUUUUAGCACAUUUGCAGAUUGUAUAUACUUGUGUAGUCCAAAUGAAUUAAUCGGAAGAUGGAUAUGUUCAUAUUUCAUAAUGCAAAAGGAGAGUUAAUAAACACAGUAUUGCAACUAUGUAACAGCAGUGAAUCCUAGUGUCAAAAAAAAAAAAAAAAAAAAAAAAAAAAAAACAAAGCAAUGAACCGUUUUUCUGGUAUGGUUUGAAACUUCAUUAUCAACGUAUUGCACAACCUGACUUGCUAUUAGUAAUCAUAUCCAGAACAUUCAUUAACCACUAGAUGCGACUAACGAUAACACCCAAACCAGGGAUAUAAAUCCAGAAGAAAACAACAAGAACAAGGAAAUUAGGGGAGAAAUCGCUUGUUUAUAGAAAGUGAAGGUUCUGAUACCGAAAAGUAGACAUGCAGCUAUAUAAGAGUCUGAGACCAUAUGAUGGUAAUUACAUCUUAUCCUUAACACACCCAAACCUAAAUAUUAUAUUGAUAAUCUAAUGCAUAUGCAUAACUCUCCCAAAUAGUUGAUAUAUAAAGUAACAUAUAACAGCUGUGAAGAAUCCACUGAAGACCCAUGCCCAUGGUUUGCCAGAUAAAACUUGCUCUCAGUCUCCAGAUCUGGUACCCAAUUGCCAAUUGACGUUCUUGGCAACAAAACUGUCAUGCGUGCAAACAGAGAAACAAUGUGGGGGCACUGAGUGCAAACAGGGGUGCUAGCAGCAUCCAAGGGGUGGUAGCUGGAAAUAGUGUGGUUGUUGGUAGCAGUAUCAAUGGCCCUGCAGCUAGCAACGAGAACACUAUUUCAGCCGGGAAUUUGAUUGCUGGUUCAGCUAUUGGUAUUGGAAACAAUGUCGCCGCUGGUAUUAGUGUUAAUGGACCUGCAGCUAGUAGUGAGAACAAUGUCUCAGCCUGUAGUGUUAACAAUGUGAAUGGUGGUUCAAGUGGUGUAAUAGGCGGGAUUGCGGGAAUAGCAUGUCGGUAAAUGGUGUUGCGAUGCAGCCGAAGAAUCGUGGAGGUGUGGAUCGAUACUGAGCAACACCAUUUACACCGAUUCUCUUGGAGAGUUAUUCUGCAGAUGUAUAAGAAGUUAAAUGAAAUUUCUUAUCACCUUCACACAUAAUCUACUGUAAUUCUUAUCAUCAUCACACACAAUUCCUUUUUCACAAUUACACAUCUACUGUAAUUCUUGUCAUCAUCACGCACAAUUCCUUUUUCACAAUUACACACAAUCUACUAUAAUUUCUUUGGGUAGGGUUCUUUGGGUAGGCCCGGUCACAAAUUUUCAAGUAACAGAUACGUCCUUCAAUAACAUAACUAAGAACAAAGGUCAAGGACAAUCCGAUAGAUGUAUAAUCUUCCACAGACGAGGAUCAUAAUACAACAAUAAGAGACAAAAUGUGCAUAAAACCCAAUACUAGCCUACCGCAAAAUAUAUUACGAAAAAGAAUGCAUAAAUAGCUCCCAAUUAUCUUAGAAAUAUAUAGAUCUAGUUUGCGUUAAGUGAACCGAAACCUGAUAUAGAUGAACAAAUGUGGUUUCUCAGUUACCUGAUUUGGGUCCAUAGCUUCCAGGUCUCUGAAGUCGUAUGACUCGUAUCUCUGUCGUAAGCCCUUUUCUGUCGCCUCUUCUCUCACUCUAAAACCCUUUCGUGAGGAAGCAGAGAAAGUGAAAAAUAAAGAGAGAGAAAAUGAAGAGACGCAGGAUGAAAAGCGUUUGAUGAAGCCUCUUUUUGGGCCUCAUUUUUUGGGCUUUGUAAUGUCAUGCCAUCGAUUUUUUUAUUUUUUUUGGAAUGAAAAGGUAUGUUUCUAUUAAUAAGGUAGAAGUAGAACGAGACAUUAGGUUUUUUUUUUUUGAUAAUGAAAAACUUCAUUAAGGGACAAGCCCAAAAAAGCCUAGCAACUGCUAAAGCCCAAACCAAAUACAUCAAAGUAGAAAGAAAGCUUUUCCUCUGAAUCAGAAUCGAGAUAGAACACGGAAAAUGGGAUAAUAGUUCACCCUAUGAAAAAAGGGGACAAUCGAGACAUUAGGUAAGGUAGAACGAGACCGACAUCAGACUCACCCUAUGAAAAAAAGGGACAAUAGUCAGUUCGGAUAGCAGCUAAACACAAAGUAACAAGUACCCAAAUCUUGUAACCACAUCACCUUUAACCUCUGCUUCCAAAACAACUCUUCUAAGUAAAGCCGAGAUUGGAGGUUAGUAAACAAUGCACACUUAUCUUCUUGUUAAGAAGCAGAAAUAGGUUCUCCCAAGCUCUUCAAGUCGAUUACAAAUCACCAUCAUCUUAAGUUUUCGCCCACAUUUAAGAGUGAUGGAUUUCGAGUGUUCAAGCUGGAGUUUAAUAAAGGUGCUCGAUGGGUAGAGGUUGAUGACUUUGGGGAUCAAAUUUUGUUUAUGGGCAGGGCCGCCUGCAAAUUCAUGCCUGCCUUGUGCAACAAUAAAGCAGUCCUAACUAGAAACUGCAUCUAUUUUGCUUUCGAUAAUCCUUGUUCUUCGGCAACCGUGUCGUCAAGCAGACGUGAUUUUGGAGUCUUUUCGUUGACAAACAAGACAAUUGAUCAGUAUGCUUUCCCGGAAGAUCAUUCCUGUACCCGAUUAAAUACUCAACCUGUCUGGUUCACUCCAGACUUCUAUCAGCCUGAUUGAAUCAGCUUCUUUAUGAUUAUCUUUCAGCACAUUUGCAGGUUGUAUAUACUUUGUCUAGUCCAAAUGAAUUAAUCGGAAGAUGGAUCUGUUCAUUUAUGCAAAAGGAGAGUUGUGAGUAUUGCAAUUUUUUAACAGCAAUGAAUCCCUUGUGUCUGGUAUGAAUUGCAACUUCCUGAAUCAACGUUUGGCACAGUGACUUGCCAAGUCUUUGUGGAGAAAUUUUUCAGUGCUACGGGAGGACCACGUGGCAGUCUGACGUGGUCCUACUUUCUAAUCAAAUUUAGACAUGUAGAUUUUCUUCCCGAAAAAUUAUUUCAGCUAUUUUGUCAAAGACCAUUUUAGGUUUUCUGUUGUUUUUUUAAUACUAAACCCUAAGCCCUAAACCCCAAACCCUAAACCCUAUACCCUAAUCCCUAAUCCCUAAACCCUAUACCCUAAACCCUAACCCUAAACUUUAAACCCUAUACCCUAGACCCUAGUUUGAACUUGCUAAAUACCCAUGAAUGUCAUUUCACAAAAAAUAGAAAAUAUUUGUUUAUAUUUUAGUUGUAAUCCACAUGUUUAAAUUUGAUUGGAACAUAGAACCACGUCACACUGUCACAUGGUCCUCCCGUAGCAUUUAAAAAUUUCUCAGUCUUUGUGUCCCUUCUUGAAUUUUGGACUAAUUUCUAGUUUUGUUUUCGUCCUGUUUAGGGUUAUUCAUUAACUUUCUUUCUACAUAUUAGUAAGGAAUCGUAUCCAGAACAUUCAUUAACC
RNAcentral lists this long non-coding RNA (3489 nucleotides) under Fragaria vesca (wild strawberry). RNAcentral describes it as "long non-coding RNA (FVES_LNC002797)". Lineage: Eukaryota; Viridiplantae; Streptophyta; Magnoliopsida; Rosales; Rosaceae. The record is from RNAcentral.